This 496-nucleotide ribosomal RNA is filed under the name uncultured bacterium. Its description in RNAcentral is "partial 16S ribosomal RNA". It matches the Rfam family "Bacterial small subunit ribosomal RNA", at positions 28 to 507 of the family's 1533-position model. The record is from RNAcentral.
GAUGAACGCUGGCGGCGUGCCUAAUACAUGCAAGUCGAGCGAAAAGACGAGGAGCUUGCUCCUUGGACGUUAGGGGCGGACGGGUGAGUAACACGUGGAUAAUCUACCUAUAAGACUGGUAAAACUUCGGGAAAGCGGAGCUAAUACCGGAUAACAUGUUGAACCGCAUGGUGCAACAGUAAAAGACGGCCUUGCGGUCACGAAUAGAUGGAUCCGCGCCGCAUUGGCUGGUUGGUAAGGUAACGGCUUAUCAAGGCAACGAUGCGUAGCCGAGCUGAGCGGGGGUACGGGCACAGUGGAGGUGAGCGGCCACAUAGAGUCCUACGGAAGGCAGCGGUAGCGACUGGUGCGAGAAGUGGGGAAGCCUGACGGAGGGGCGCAGCGCGGGUGAAGCAGGUCUUCGGAUGGUAAAACUGUGUUUUAGGGAAGAACCGCUGUGGCAGUAGAUAAGCACGUCUUGACGGUACCUAGUAAGAAAGCAACGGCUAACUACGUG